Molecule: ribosomal RNA, 445 nt
Filed under: uncultured bacterium
Lineage: Bacteria
Description: SSU rRNA
Rfam family: Bacterial small subunit ribosomal RNA
Source: RNAcentral
AGAGCGAACGCUGGCGGCAGGCCUAAUACAUGCAAGUCGAACGCACCUUCGGGUGAGUGGCGGACGGGUGAGUAACACGUGGGAACGUGCCCUUUGGUUCGGAAUAAUCCGGGGAAACCUGGCCUAAUACCGGAUGUGCCCUUCGGGGGAAAGAUUUAUCGCCAUUGGAGCGGCCCGCGUCUGAUUAGCUUGUUGGUGGGGUAAUGGCCCACCAAGGCUACGAUCAGUAGCUGGUCUGAGAGGAUGAUCAGCCACACUGGGACUGAGACACGGCCCAGACUCCUACGGGAGGCAGCAGUAGGGAAUCUUGCGCAAUGGGCGAAAGCCUGACGCAGCCAUGCCGCGUGAAUGAUGAAGGUCUUAGGAUUUGUAAAAUUCUUUCAGCGGGGAAGAUAAUGACUGUACCCGCAGAAGAAGCUCCGGCUAACUUCGUGCCAGCAGCCGC